UACGAAGGGGGCUAGCGUUGCUCGGAAUCACUGGGCGUAAAGCGCACGUAGGCGGCUUCUUAAGUCAGGGGUGAAAUCCUGGAGCUCAACUCCAGAACUGCCUUUGAUACUGAGGAGCUUGAGUCCGGGAGAGGUGAGUGGAACUCCGAGUGUAGAGGUGAAAUUCGUAGAUAUUCGGAAGAACACCAGUGGCGAAGGCGACUCACUGGACACAUAUUGACGCUGAGGUGCGAAAGCGUGGGGAGCAAACAGG
This 253-nucleotide ribosomal RNA is filed under the name uncultured bacterium. RNAcentral's name for it is "partial 16S ribosomal RNA". It matches the Rfam family "Bacterial small subunit ribosomal RNA", at positions 524 to 776 of the family's 1533-position model. The record is from RNAcentral.